AUGAACAAAAGCAAGGAGGUGAAACUUCGGCUGACUGACAGAAUAAGUGCAAUAGAGCAGUGGAGGGCAGAGCCAUUUGGCUCUAUUGUAGCAUUUUCUUCAGAGGCAGCCAGAACAACUCAUUGCCUCACUACAACACCCCCUUCAAACCAGUUGCUCUGGAGAAUUCCCAAGGACUUCAAGACAUCCGUGAACACUGAACUUGUGAAAAUAGAAAAUAUAUUUAAACUAUUAUUAAACAUUACAAAACUUCGUAAUGGCGAAACCGCUCUCGAGAUCCUCUAGCGUGACCUCAUCAGCCAGGAGGGGAUGUCCUCAGACAACUAUAAGAUCUGGGAGAUCGUGUUCGGCGGUGCCUGGAGGUGGAGGGGAAAGUUGGUCAGUAGGACAGAGGGUAACACUGAUAACUUGUUAGUUGGUGGAAAUGCCUCUGCUGAAGGCUCCGAGGUUGAAAGUACCGAAAGCGCAGUCAUCACUGCUGUUGAUAUUGUCCUGAACCAUCCCUUUCAGGAAACCAGCUUCACAAAAGAAGCCUACAGGCACUACAUCAAAGAUGUAAUCAAUCAAAGGCAAACUUGAAGAACAGAGGCUUCUAUGACAGGAACUGCAGAACACAACAAGCACAGCCUCGCUAAUUUCGAAAACUACCAGUUCUUUAUUGGAGAGAACAUGAAUCUAGAUGGCAUAGUUGCUCUGCUGGACUACCUUGAGGAUGGAGUGACCCCAUAUAUGAUUUUCUUUAAGGAUGGUUUAGAAAUGGAAAAAAUGUUAACAAUUUGGCCAUUACUUUGGAUGUAUCACCUGUUGUCAUAACUGACUGCUACUCUUCAUCCACACAACACCAGGACUUAGACAAAUGGGACUGAUGUCAUCUUCAGCUCUUCAUUUAUUUUGACCUUGAUUUAUGUGGAGCAAAGGCAUUUUUGUUAAGAAAAAAACAUGUCACAUAGGUUGUCUAAAAAUAAAAUGCAUUUAAACUCAUUUGA
Neomonachus schauinslandi (Hawaiian monk seal) is the source of this 986-nucleotide RNA transcript. It is a transcript of the gene named translationally-controlled tumor protein-like, with no coding region annotated. The transcript has 5 exons. Lineage: Eukaryota; Metazoa; Chordata; Mammalia; Carnivora; Phocidae. The record is from RefSeq and is a predicted model, not a curated record.